UCCUUUUCAAACAUGCUGUCUCGGUCGAAGAGGACGACAUUCCCCGAAUAGAGGAGGACCCGUCUUCGGUUAAGGGUAUACGAGUAGCUGCACUCCCCUGCUAGAACCUCCAAACAAGCUCUCAAACAUGCUGUCUUAACCUUUACAUUGCAUUUGCUGUGUGUUUAGGC
Molecule: small RNA, 170 nt
Filed under: Mesocricetus auratus (golden hamster)
Lineage: Eukaryota; Metazoa; Chordata; Mammalia; Rodentia; Cricetidae
Description: 7SK RNA (ENSMAUG00000007321.1)
Rfam family: 7SK RNA
About the family: 7SK was discovered as an abundant small nuclear RNA in the mid-70s but a possible function has only recently been suggested. Two independent studies have found that 7SK RNA binds the CDK9/cyclin T complex (known as elongation factor P-TEFb).
Source: RNAcentral